AGAGUUUGAUCCUGGCUCAGAACGAACGCUGGCGGCAGGCCUAACACAUGCAAGUCGAACGCUCUAGCAAUAGAGAGUGGCGCACGGGUGAGUAACACGUGGGAAUCCACCUGAUAGUCUGGGAUAACAGCGGGAAACUGCUGCUAAUACCGGGUACGCCCUUAGGGGGAAAGAUUUAUCGCUAUCAGAUGAGCCCGCGUUAGAUUAGCUAGUUGGUGAGGUAAUGGCUCACCAAGGCUCCGAUCUAUAGCCGGUCUGAGAGGACGAUCGGCCACACUGGGACUGAGACACGGCCCAGACUCCUACGGGAGGCAGCAGUGGGGAAUAUUGGGCAAUGGACGCAAGUCUGACCCAGCCAUGCCGCGUGUGUGAUGAAGGCCUUAGGGUUGUAAAGCACUUUUAGUGGUGAAGAUGAUGACAGUGACCACAGAAAAAGCCCCGGCUAACUUCGUG
RNAcentral lists this ribosomal RNA (453 nucleotides) under uncultured Alphaproteobacteria bacterium. RNAcentral's name for it is "bacterial SSU rRNA". It matches the Rfam family "Bacterial small subunit ribosomal RNA", at positions 8 to 507 of the family's 1533-position model. Lineage: Bacteria; Pseudomonadati; Pseudomonadota; Alphaproteobacteria. The record is from RNAcentral.